Molecule: ribosomal RNA, 562 nt
Filed under: Rhodotorula graminis
Lineage: Eukaryota; Fungi; Basidiomycota; Microbotryomycetes; Sporidiobolales; Sporidiobolaceae
Description: partial large subunit ribosomal RNA
Rfam family: Eukaryotic large subunit ribosomal RNA
Source: RNAcentral
GUAGCGGCGAGCGAAGCGGGAAGAGCUCAAAUUUAUAAUCUGGCACCUUCGGUGUCCGAGUUGUAAUCUCUAGAAGUGUUUUCCGCGUUGGACCGCACACAAGUCUGUUGGAAUACAGCGGCAUAGUGGUGAAACCCCCGUAUAUGGUGCGGACGCCCAGCGCUUUGUGAUACACUUUCAAUGAGUCGAGUUGUUUGGGAAUGCAGCUCAAAUUGGGUGGUAAAUUCCAUCUAAAGCUAAAUAUUGGCGAGAGACCGAUAGCGAACAAGUACCGUGAGGGAAAGAUGAAAAGCACUUUGGAAAGAGAGUUAACAGUACGUGAAAUUGUUGGAAGGGAAACGCUUGAAGUCAGACUUGCUUGCCGGAGCUUGCUUCGGUUUGCAGGCCAGCAUCAGUUUUCCGGGGUGGAUAAUGACGGUUUGAAGGUAGCAGUCUCGGCUGUGUUAUAGCUUUCCGUUGGAUACAUCCUGGGGGACUGAGGAACGCAGCGUGCUUUUUGCGAAAGACUCGUCUUUUUCACGCUUAGGAUGCUGGUGGAAUGGCUUUAAACGACCCGUCUUGA